This 434-nucleotide ribosomal RNA is filed under the name uncultured bacterium. Its description in RNAcentral is "partial 16S ribosomal RNA". It matches the Rfam family "Bacterial small subunit ribosomal RNA", at positions 29 to 507 of the family's 1533-position model. The record is from RNAcentral.
AGCGAACGCUGGCGGCAGGCCUAACACAUGCAAGUCGAACGAACCUUUCGGGGUUAGUGGCGGACGGGUGAGUAACACGUGGGAACGUGCCUUUAGGUUCGGAAUAACUCAGGGAAACUUGUGCUAAUACCGAAUGUGCCCUUCGGGGGAAAGAUUUAUCGCCUUUAGAGCGGCCCGCGUCUGAUUAGCUAGUUGGUUGAGGUAAUGGCUCACCAAGGCGACGAUCAGUAGCUGGUCUGAGAGGAUGAUCAGCCACAUUGGGACUGAGACACGGCCCAAACUCCUACGGGAGGCAGCAGUGGGGAAUCUUGCGCAAUGGGCGAAAGCCUGACGCAGCCAUGCCGCGUGAAUGAUGAAGGUUUUAGGAUUGUAAAAUUCUUUCACCGGGGACGAUAAUGACGGUACCCGGAGAAGAAGCCCCGGCUAACUUCGUG